This 385-nucleotide ribosomal RNA is filed under the name uncultured bacterium. Its description in RNAcentral is "bacterial SSU rRNA". It matches the Rfam family "Bacterial small subunit ribosomal RNA", at positions 996 to 1382 of the family's 1533-position model. The record is from RNAcentral.
GACCAUGGAAACAUGGUCCUCCCGUAAGGGACAUCAGUACAGGUGGUGCAUGGCUGUCGUCAGCUCGUGUCGCGAGAUGUUGGGUUAAGUCCCGCAACGAGCGCAACCCUUAUUCUUAGUUGUUUUCCCUUUGGGAUUACCCUCUAAGAAGACUGCCUCGGAUAACGGGGAGGAAGGUGGGGAUGACGUCAAGUCCGCAUGCUCCUUACGUCUAGGGCUACACACGUCCUACAAUGGGGUCGACAAUGGGAUGCAAUAUCGCAAGAUGGAGCCAAUCCCCAAACGGCCUCUCAGUUCGGAUUGUAGUCUGCAACUCGACUACAUGAAGUUGGAAUCGCUAGUAAUGGCAGAUCAGCAUGCUGCCGUGAAUACGUUCCCGGGUCUU